UACGAAGGGGGCUAGCGUUGUUCGGAAUUACUGGGCUUAAAGCGCGCGCAGGUGGUCUUUCAAGUCAGUGGUGAAAGCCCGGAGCUCAACUCCGGAAAUGCCAUUGAAACUGUGAGACUUGAGGACGAGAGAGGUGAGUGGAAUUCCCAGUGUAGAGGUGAAAUUCGUAGAUAUUCGCAAGAACACCAGUGGCGAAGGCGGCUCACUGGCCCGAUACUGACGCUGAGGCACGAAAGCGUGGGGAGCAAACAGG
This 253-nucleotide ribosomal RNA is filed under the name uncultured bacterium. RNAcentral describes it as "partial 16S ribosomal RNA". It matches the Rfam family "Bacterial small subunit ribosomal RNA", at positions 524 to 776 of the family's 1533-position model. The record is from RNAcentral.